UACGUAGGGUGCAAGCGUUGUCCGGAAUUAUUGGGCGUAAAGAGCUCGUAGGCGGUCUGUCACGUCGGGAGUGAAAACUCGGGGCUCAACCCCGAGCCUGCUUCCGAUACGGGCAGACUAGAGGUAUGCAGGGGAGAGUGGAAUUCCUGGUGUAGCGGUGAAAUGCGCAGGUAUCAGGAGGAACACCGAUGGCGAAGGCAGGUCUCUGGGCCGCAACUGACGCUGAGGAGCGAAAGCAUGGGGAGCGAACAGG
RNAcentral lists this ribosomal RNA (253 nucleotides) under uncultured bacterium. RNAcentral's name for it is "partial 16S ribosomal RNA". It matches the Rfam family "Bacterial small subunit ribosomal RNA", at positions 524 to 776 of the family's 1533-position model. The record is from RNAcentral.